GUGAUCUUGCUGCCGUUGAUCUCCUUCACGUCGAUGUUGCGGGGGCUGAGGAUCCAGGGCACCAGGAUCUUCAGGUUGUUGAUGAACUCGCCGUCAAUCUCUAGAGAAGGACAAUCAGUUUGUGUCAUAAUCUGUUAUAGCUCGUCUCCCAGUGACAAAACGUGACCUGCAGACAUCUUCCAAGUUGGGAUGCACCAAGUGAAAUCUUCUGGCCGAUCACCGAUUUUUUUUUUUUUUUUUUUUUUAAAGACCUGAACUGGGUACGGUUGUACAUCUGCUUCCUAUGGACCUGUGAACCUCACCGACCGGUGCACUCAGACGGCACUAAACUGUGGUACCUGCAU
Gambusia affinis (western mosquitofish) is the source of this 344-nucleotide long non-coding RNA. RefSeq lists it as uncharacterized. The record is from RefSeq and is a predicted model, not a curated record. NCBI's taxonomy places the organism in Eukaryota, Metazoa, Chordata, Actinopteri, Cyprinodontiformes, Poeciliidae. The transcript has 3 exons.